GCGACCCCAGGAUGGGCGAGGUCACCCGCUGAGUUUAAGCAUAU
This 44-nucleotide ribosomal RNA is filed under the name Liparis loeselii. Its description in RNAcentral is "partial 28S ribosomal RNA". Lineage: Eukaryota; Viridiplantae; Streptophyta; Magnoliopsida; Asparagales; Orchidaceae. The record is from RNAcentral.